Molecule: long non-coding RNA, 889 nt
Filed under: Mus musculus (house mouse)
Lineage: Eukaryota; Metazoa; Chordata; Mammalia; Rodentia; Muridae
Description: Hand2, opposite strand 1
Source: RNAcentral
GUUGCUAAUUGCCGAGGUCCUCUUCUAGGAUUGGUUGUCCACUCAUAACCAUAAGAUAAUUAAAACGGGGGGGGGCAGGGUAAAAAAAAAACCCUUUUAUCAGCCAUAGGUUAAUGCAAGUGUUUAACAGAUGCUUCGCUAUUAAAAUAUUUCCCCCCAAUACUGAAGAAUCUUAAACCAGCAACCCUAACAGAGAUUGCGAAGAUUUUCAAAGUGGGGCACCUCGAUUUCUCGAAUCUGUGGUGUGGCGAAUAUCCGUGUUCCUCCUGCUUAACUAGCCUGUUUGAAGGCACAGUUCAUUCUCGAGCAAUUCGUCACCUCCUGGGGGUCUUCUCUUCCCGUCUACAGGAGAGUGUGACUUCAGAAAGAACUUCGGAUUGGCCAAGGCCAUUAAAGCUGGUGAGCGACUUGGAAGUCAUUUAGAAAGGAACAGACCUUCAACCUCAAGCCUUUGCGGGCACUGGGAAAGUGUCUUCCCAAUCAAUCUGGCUUGCAGGCGGCAGGACCAACUCUGACCUGGCUUAUCUUGUACCCAUCCUAAAUACACCAAACUCAAGAGGUAGCCAGGGCCGCCUCAACACCGAGGCAGGUCUGAUUCUAUUUAUUCUAAAGACAGAGUUGGAGAUGGGCUACCAUUGGUGUUGAUUGAGAUGACAAGCAGUCACCUGAGCCCAUACAGCUGGUAAGUAGAACAGUACUGGAGAGAUGGCUCAGCAGUUAAGAGCACUGACUGCUCUUCCAGAGAUCCUGAGUUCAAUUCCCAGCAACCACAUGGUGGCUCACAAACAUCUGUAAUGAGAUCAGGUGCCCUCUUCUGGUGCCUUUGAAGACAAAGACAGUGUAGUGUCAUAUAUAUAAAAUAAAUAAAUCUUUAGAAAUUUGAAAAUAA